This 549-nucleotide ribosomal RNA is filed under the name Dothideomycetes sp. Its description in RNAcentral is "eukaryotic LSU rRNA". The stretch from base 192 to 345 matches the Rfam family "5.8S ribosomal RNA". Lineage: Eukaryota; Fungi; Ascomycota; Dothideomycetes. The record is from RNAcentral.
AAAGUCCGUAACAAGGUUUCCGUAGGUGAACCUGCGGAAGGAUCAUUAUCGUAGGGCUUCGGCCCUGUCGAGAUAGAACCCUUGCCUUUUUGAGUACCUUUCGUUUCCUCGGCAGGCUCGCCUGCCAAUGGGGACCACAAAAAACACUUUGCAGUACCUGUAACAGUCUGAACAAACAAAACAAAAAUUAAAACUUUCAACAACGGAUCUCUUGGUUCUGGCAUCGAUGAAGAACGCAGCGAAAUGCGAUAAGUAGUGUGAAUUGCAGAAUUCAGUGAAUCAUCGAAUCUUUGAACGCACAUUGCGCCCUUUGGUAUUCCUUAGGGCAUGCCUGUUCGAGCGUCAUUUAAACCUUCAAGCUAAGCUUGGUGUUGGGUGACUGUCCGCUUCACUGCGGACUCGCCUCAAAAUUAUUGGCGGCCGGUACAUUGGCUUCGAGCGCAGCAGAAACGCGAACUCGGGCCCGUCGUAUUGGCUCCCAGAAGCUAUCUUCACAAUUUUGACCUCGGAUCAGGUAGGGAUACCCGCUGAACUUAAGCAUAUCAAUAA